This is an RNA transcript of Drosophila navojoa, 1606 nucleotides long. It is a transcript of the gene named myeloid leukemia factor, with no coding region annotated. Lineage: Eukaryota; Metazoa; Arthropoda; Insecta; Diptera; Drosophilidae. The record is from RefSeq and is a predicted model, not a curated record.
CGACAACUGCCACGCGGUCACAUUGUGUUCGAGAAAACUCGUGAAGUUAUAACAAGUUUAAAAAAGUGACAAAAUUUGUGAUUCAAUUAGUGUUGGACUGUAAACAAGAAUUAAAACAUAAAAUAUGUCGCUAUUUGGUGCAUUAAUGGGUGAUUUCGAUGAUGAUCUCGGAUUCAUGAACAAUCCUAUGAACCACCACAUGAACGCUAUGAAUAUGCAAAUGCGCUCGAUGAAUCGUUUGAUGAACUCCUUCAUGCCGGAUCCUUUUAAUAUGCUGGGUCCCUCUCCAUUCGAUGCGGGAUUCCAACAGGGCUCAUUGAUGGAGCGUAAUCAGAAUGCAAUGGCACCAAUGGGCGGCGGUUUAUUUGGCUUUCCAGCCAUGCCCAAUUUCAACCGUUUGCUAAAUGCCGACAUUGGCGGUAAUAGCGGCUCCUCGUUUUGCCAAAGCACAGUGAUGACCAUGUCCUCGGGUCCAGAUGGACGUCCACAGAUUUAUCAGGCUAGCACCAGCACCAAAACUGGACCUGGUGGCGUGCGCGAAACACGCAAGACCGUUCAGGACUCACGUUCAGGCUUGAAAAAGAUGGCCAUUGGUCAUCACAUUGGCGAUCGCGCACACAUCAUCGAGAAGGAGCAGGAUUUGCGCUCUGGCCAGCUAGAAGAGCGUCAGGAGUUCAUCAAUUUAGACGAAGAGGAGGCCGAACAGUUCGACCGCGAGUUCACAUCACGCGCAACACGCGGCAUUUUACCUCAUGGAAGUGGUCACAGCGGUUUGCAUGCCAUACGCGGCGCUCGCCCAGCUGCUGGAGGCUCGACGGUUACCAUUGAGCCGCUCGACGACGACGAUGAUGAUGAUUGUGUGAUCCAGGAGCCGUCACGCACCGGCCGUCAAUUGCCAGCUCUGCCCGCACCCCCAACGGCCCCGCACAGCAGCGCCGAUACAACAACAACUUCGCCACGUCGCGACGCUCCAUCGGCAACAGCAGCAGCUGCAGCAACAACAUCAGCCUCUUCGCCCCUAACUUAUGAUGCAACUAACAACAAUUAUUUGGGCGUUGGAAAUACGUCAGCAUCGCGUCGCGCCUAUAUGCGCAAUGGUCAGCACUUGGCCACGCCCCGUCGACCACUACGUACGCCUUCGUCGUCGCCGCUGGCCACCGUAUCGAGCGCUAGUCACAGCAUUGCCGGCACGCCAAGAGAUUGGCGUUUAUAUAACUCACGUUUCUAUAGAAAAUAGAAAUAUCUAUGUGCAUAAUAUAUGAUCCAUAAAAUAUAAUGAACUUAUACACAUAUAAAUAUUUAACAUAUACACCACAACGUAAUUGAAUGAGACGCGUUACGUGCAACGUUGCGACGUAAUCAAAACCACCUACUAACCAGUAACUGCGUUUGGCGACGGCGCUCCAACUCGCUAUUUAUCUAAAUCGCCCGCUGUGCUCCGUCAUGAAAUUUCAUCGCUGCGACGCUACGAAUCAUCUACGUUACGCAUCUCUGCAACGUCACACACACGUCGUUACGUGCCCCCACAUGUUACGUCAUACAUCCACAUCCCUAUGCUGCGAAUCCGGCUGCUGCCCGUCGCCAGCAGCGUCUGAAGCAUCAUCAA